GACGAAGGUGGCGACCGUUGUUCGGAAUCACUGGGCAUAAAGAGCACGUAGGCGGCGAUGUAUGUCGGGUGUGAAAUCCCUCGGCCUAACCGAGGAAUUGCGCCCGAAACUACAUUGCUUGAGGAUGGAAGGGGAGCGUGGAAUUCCUGGUGGAGCGGUGAAAUGCGUUGAUAUCAGGAGGAACACCGGCGGCGAGGGCGACGCUCUGGUCCAUUUCUGACGCUGAGGUGCGAAAGCCAGGGGAGCAAACGGG
RNAcentral lists this ribosomal RNA (253 nucleotides) under uncultured bacterium. Its description in RNAcentral is "partial 16S ribosomal RNA". It matches the Rfam family "Bacterial small subunit ribosomal RNA", at positions 524 to 776 of the family's 1533-position model. The record is from RNAcentral.